UACGUAGGGGGCGAGCGUUGUCCGGAAUCAUUGGGCGUAAAGCGCGUGUAGGCGGCCCGGUAAGUCCGCUGUGAAAGUCCAGGGCUCAACCCUGGGAUGCCGGUGGAUACUGUCGGGUUAGAGUCCGGAAGAGGAGUGUGGAAUUCCUGGUGUAGCGGUGAAAUGCGCAGAUAUCAGGAGGAACACCAAUGGCGAAGGCAGCACUCUGGGACGUGACUGACGCUGAGACGCGAAAGCCAGGGGAGCAAACGGG
Molecule: ribosomal RNA, 253 nt
Filed under: uncultured bacterium
Lineage: Bacteria
Description: partial 16S ribosomal RNA
Rfam family: Bacterial small subunit ribosomal RNA
Source: RNAcentral